ACACUGGAACUGAGACACGGUCCAGACUCCUACGGGAGGCAGCAGUGGGGAAUAUUGCACAAUGGGCGCAAGCCUGAUGCAGCCAUGCCGCGUGUAUGAAGAAGGCCUUCGGGUUGUAAAGUACUUUCAGCGGGGAGGAAGGGAGUAAAGUUAAUACCUUUACUCAUUGACGUUACCCGCAGAAGAAGCACCGGCUAACUCCGUGCCAGCAGCCGCGGUAAUACGGAGGGUGCAAGCGUUAAUCGGAAUUACUGGGCGUAAAGCGCACGCAGGCGGUUUGUUAAGUCAGAUGUGAAAUCCCCGGGCUCAACCUGGGAACUGCAUCUGAUACUGGCAAGCUUGAGUCUCGUAGAGGGGGGUAGAAUUCCAGGUGUAGCGGUGAAAUGCGUAGAGAUCUGGAGGAAUACCGGUGGCGAAGGCGGCCCCCUGGACGAAGACUGACGCUCAGGUGCGAAAGCGUGGGGAGCAAACAGGAUU
Molecule: ribosomal RNA, 477 nt
Filed under: Shigella flexneri
Lineage: Bacteria; Pseudomonadati; Pseudomonadota; Gammaproteobacteria; Enterobacterales; Enterobacteriaceae
Description: bacterial SSU rRNA
Rfam family: Bacterial small subunit ribosomal RNA
Source: RNAcentral